UGACGACAUAUUGGCGUGAUGACAUGAUGACAUGUUGGCACGAUGGCAUAUUGGCGUGAUGACAUGAUGACAUGAUGAUAUAUUGGCGUGAUGACAUGAUGACAUGUUGGCGUGAUGACAUGUUGGCAGGUGGAACACCCUCAGUCACUCAGGGACAUUUAAAGUAAAAUAAAAACGUUUCAGAGGAUAAAAAAAAAUAAUAAUAUCAUGAGAAUAAUAUGUGCAAAUACAUUAAUUGAUUGAUAAUUUUCAGUGACCUCAAUUUUAUUUUCAUUCAUUUUAUUAUCAACUCUUUCAACUGAGUAAUUAAAAGUUUAGUCAAAACAUUUCACAAGUCUUAAAAUAGCUUUUGUGACUCAAAUCAUCACGUUUAGAACCAGCAAAUGUUUUAAAACUCGCUUCAACAAUAAAAACAAAACAGCAACAAUGUGUCUUUAACUAAGCGACCGUCUUUGUUUGUCGCCUUUGAAACGUGAAUAAAGUAGCUGGACGGGUUGGCGGUGUUUCAGCUCACCUCGGUGCCGCCGUCAGUCAGACUGUCGCUGCUCUGCGAGAGUUCACUGCUGAGCGACAAACUGUCCUGUGAAGUCCACACGUAUUCUUUCACAAAAUAGAACAUUCUAAUACAUCCAGAACGUUCUGUAUUCAGUGAACCGGCGGCUGAUCCCAGUUCUCAAUGGAGACGCUCACCUGCGCUCGGGGGAGUGGAUCAGCGGACUUCUUGAACAGCCCACCGAACAACGCCGCUUUUUGCUGAAAGUUAAAAAACAAAAACAAAAAAAAAAAGGCAAAAAGGAAAAUGAGGCUCGCGAAAACAAACGGAUGCGUCGGGAAGACUCGAGAGGAGCAGGAGGCGGUUCUGUGGAGUAACGGGUCGAGCGUGAGGCGCUGCCACGGCCGGUGAGUCAGCGGCGUAAAUCUGUCUCGGAGGAGCGGGAGGACAGGCGGAGCACGUUCCACGUCACAGGUGAAAGGUCACUUGUCUGUUAUUCCAUCUAAAAUAGCCUUUGCAAAGAAUAAAGCCUCAGGCUUCAAUAAUAUACAAGAACGGAUUACUGUAAGAUACUGUAAAUCCGUACAACGGAACUGAAUAAUAUUGUACUGCUUAUAGGAAAAACAAAGACCGGUAAUUACGUUUUCAAACAAUGGCCGUUCCCCAAAACAAACGAGACAAGUCUCCAAACUUAUAGUGUGUGUAAAGUACCCAAACAAAUCUACAGACCGAAUCCACAAAGUAAAAUUCCCUUAAAAACCUCCCUUGAGGAUUGUCAAACUAAACGAAAUAUGCCUGAAACAGCACACCUCCCUUUAUUAUUUGUUAUCAACAAAUCCCAUCCAGAAAAUAAAAACAAAAGAAUCCUACUAAGAAUGAGUCAUUUCAGAAUAAUAUCAUAUUAUUGAAUUGUAGAUGCAGUAAAUACUUUACAUACCUGCUGCUAAGCUUAAUCUAUUUAAAUGUAUUAAAAUUUAUGAAAAAUAUGAAGGAAAAAAAAAUACAAUAUGGGCUUCCAAAUUGUGGCGGGGUAGAAGUAUGAAGUAGAACAAUAUGCAAACACUCAAUUAAUUUAAGUCCAAAUUGUGAUUAAAGAGUAAGUUGAAUGUAGUUAGUUGCAUCUGACCACUAGGGUCCGUUUAGUUUAGUUGAUGUGAAGGUCACGCCGACCUGGAACGUGGAGUUCAGCUGUAAUGAGUUCAGCUGUAAUAUCACACGUCUAUAAAUAAACAGAUGCCGUGAAACGAACAACAAACGUCAGCCGGCUGAACCUUUUACAACUUAAAGGUUACUCACAGCGACGCCUCCGUCCUCGCAGUCCAGGUCCAGGUCCGCGUAUCGAUCCUGUC
Long non-coding RNA from Gasterosteus aculeatus aculeatus (three-spined stickleback), 1842 nucleotides. The record is from Ensembl. NCBI's taxonomy places the organism in Eukaryota, Metazoa, Chordata, Actinopteri, Perciformes, Gasterosteidae.